Molecule: unclassified non-coding RNA, 147 nt
Filed under: uncultured Ascomycota
Lineage: Eukaryota; Fungi; Ascomycota
Description: sequence contains ITS1
Source: RNAcentral
CCGAGAGAGGGCGCCUCGCGCGCCCGACCUCCCAACCCAUUGUAUGACCAAACCAUGUUGCCUCGGGGGCCGACCCGGUCGCCCCCGGUGGACCAACCAUCAAAACUCUGCAUCUUUGCGUCGGAGUCACAAGUUUAAAUCGUUUUA